RNAcentral lists this ribosomal RNA (253 nucleotides) under uncultured bacterium. RNAcentral's name for it is "partial 16S ribosomal RNA". It matches the Rfam family "Bacterial small subunit ribosomal RNA", at positions 524 to 776 of the family's 1533-position model. The record is from RNAcentral.
UACGAAGGGUGCAAGCGUUACUCGGAAUUACUGGGCGUAAAGCGUGCGUAGGUGGUUAGUUAAGUCUGAUGUGAAAGCCCUGGGCUCAACCUGGGAACUGCAUUGGAGACUGGCUUACUAGAGUGCGGUAGAGGGGUGUGGAAUUCCCGGUGUAGCAGUGAAAUGCGUAGAUAUCGGGAGGAACAUCAGUGGCGAAGGCGGCUUACUGGACCAACACUGACACUGAGGCACGAAAGCGUGGGUAGCAAACAGG